Molecule: long non-coding RNA, 447 nt
Organism: Mytilus californianus (California mussel)
Lineage: Eukaryota; Metazoa; Mollusca; Bivalvia; Mytilida; Mytilidae
Exons: 2
Source: RefSeq, a predicted model, not a curated record
GAAAACUAUGAGAUACAAUGUGAUACAAGCGUCGCUGUGAUGAAGACAGGCAAUGUGAUAUGGCUCCAAUGAAUGUUUAAAGUAAUGCAGAAACCAAAAGAUAAAAACAAUUUCGAUGAAAAUAACAGGAACUUUGUCAGUAUUUUCGAUGUUAAUUUCAAAGAUAUGGAACUUUUCAAGUGAAUGAACAUUUGCCAGAGGAAAUUAUAUUUUAUUGGACAUUAUAAGUUUAAAACUUCAUGGAAUAUAUUCUAAUGGAUUGCAUGACUUGAACAAUCAUUAUCCUUAAUGUGCAUUUUCAAGGACCGUUACAGAGUUUUCCACACUUGGUUGGAUCGAAAGACCACGUGACAAACAUUACAUUGGAGACUGAGAUUUAUGGUGAAUUAAUGUACUUUUGUGCCAAAUUAUUUACAAGAAUUUUAUUAUAUAAAGCAUAAGAAUUUA